UAAAACAAGUUACUACUGAAGAUUCAUAAUAGGAGUAGUGGCCCAAGCUACUUCUCCAAACAAAAACAAAUAGCGGAAAAGUUAAAUAUAUCACUAAGUCAAGUAACUUCAUUGCUUUUGCUCUUCCUCACGCUUUGCGUCUUUGAUCUCAUCUGUCCCAUCGUCCUGCAUAUCUGAGGUCCACAGAGUGAGAUUAUCCCGAAGAAGUUGCAUGA
RNAcentral lists this unclassified non-coding RNA (215 nucleotides) under Hevea brasiliensis (rubber tree). The record is from RNAcentral. Lineage: Eukaryota; Viridiplantae; Streptophyta; Magnoliopsida; Malpighiales; Euphorbiaceae.